This 381-nucleotide long non-coding RNA is filed under the name Theobroma cacao (cacao). Its description in RNAcentral is "long non-coding RNA (TCAC_LNC004851)". Lineage: Eukaryota; Viridiplantae; Streptophyta; Magnoliopsida; Malvales; Malvaceae. The record is from RNAcentral.
UUGCUGCAGUGGGCGGGUUCUAUGGACUAGCCUAUUAGAGGGGCACGAAAUCCGGUUAUAUAGGUACCUCGGUUGGAGAGGCACGUAGGGUAUCUCCUGAGGUAUGGUUAGAGUUCACGUCACGCCGAACCACCUCGUGAUGAUGAACUUCGCUAAAGCCAAGGAACGGCUGUGUUUUUCAAACUAAAAAUAUGUUUAUGUGUAUACGAAACUUUUUAACAGCCUUGGCGGACUCGGUUAAAUGCCUCGGCCAAGGUAUUCCCAAGAAUGAUUUUGGCAGGAGCCAAGCUUUUAAAAUACUCAUAAGCCAUGUUGAUUAUUUAAAUGAAAUGAAUAUUUAUGUUAUGAAAUACAUAUUGAGAUGGAAUAUUUUAAUCGUCU